CCUACGGGGGGCAGCAGUGAGGAAUAUUGGUCAAUGGACGAGAGUCUGAACCAGCCAAGUAGCGUGAAGGAUGACUGCCCUAUGGGUUGUAAACUUCUUUUAUAUGGGAAUAAAAUGUUCCACGUGUGGGCUUUUGUAUGUACCAUAUGAAUAAGGAUCGGCUAACUCCGUGCCAGCAGCCGCGGUCAUACGUAGGAUCCGAGCAUUAUCCGGAGUGACUGGGUGUAAAGAGUUGCGUAGGUGGCAUAAUAAGUAGCUAGUGAAAUCUGGUGGCUCAACCAUUCAGACUAUUAGCUAAACUGUUAAGCUCGAGACCGUUAGGGGUAACUGGAAGUUCUAGUGUAGGAGUGAAAUCCGUAGAUAUUAGAAGGAACACCAAUAGCGUAGGCAGGUUGCUGGGACGGUUCUGACACUAAGGCACGAAAGCGUAGGGAGCAAACGGGAUUAGAUACCCCAGUAGUC
Molecule: ribosomal RNA, 462 nt
Filed under: uncultured bacterium
Lineage: Bacteria
Description: partial 16S ribosomal RNA
Rfam family: Bacterial small subunit ribosomal RNA
Source: RNAcentral